Molecule: ribosomal RNA, 372 nt
Filed under: uncultured organism
Description: partial 16S ribosomal RNA
Rfam family: Bacterial small subunit ribosomal RNA
Source: RNAcentral
GUAGGUGGCAAGCGUUGUCCGGAAUUAUUGGGCGUAAAGCGCGCGCAGGCGGUCCUUUAAGUCUGAUGUGAAAGCCCACGGGCUCAACCGUGGAGGGUCAUUGGAAACUGGGGACUUGAGUACAGAAGAGGAAAGCGGAAUUCCAAGUGUAGCGGUGAAAUGCGUAGAGAUUUGGAGGAACACCAGUGGCGAAGGCGGCUUUCUGGUCUGUAACUGACGCUGAGGCGCGAAAGCGUGGGGAGCAAACAGGAUUAGAUACCCUGGUAGUCCACGCCGUAAACGAUGAGUGCUAAGUGUUAGGGGGUUUCCGCCCCUUAGUGCUGCAGCUAACGCAUUAAGCACUCGCCUGGGGAGUACGGCCGCAAAGGCUGA